RNAcentral lists this long non-coding RNA (3554 nucleotides) under Dasypus novemcinctus (nine-banded armadillo). RNAcentral describes it as "lncRNA (ENSDNOG00000051443.1)". Lineage: Eukaryota; Metazoa; Chordata; Mammalia; Cingulata; Dasypodidae. The record is from RNAcentral.
GCCCCAGGAAAAGUGUUCUGGGAGCAGGGCGCCCUUGGCCGGGCCUGGGGUGGGUGGGCGCAAGGGAGACCACAGGGCCCAGCCCCUGCCAGGGCUGCCUCUCUUUCUGAGUCACAUGGGCCCAGCUUCCCUAGAGUAAGAAGGAAAGGAUGUUCCCAGGGCAAAUAGAUCCAUUUCCAGUAAAAAUAAGAGAACUAUGAUGUGGUAGAAAAACAGGUUUGGUUUACUUAUGCUCUUAAAGUUUUGAACAAGUCAGUAUUGACACAAAGUAACAAAAGGAAACAGUGCUGGAGUGGGUAGCCCAUCCGCCUGUGAGCCCUUGGGCAGACGUCUUCUUGACCCAAAGCUCACCUGCCACAGGCCUGUUGUAAAUGCCUGUAGAAAACGCCAGUCAAAAUCACCAGCUGAGACAAAAACAGGUGUGUCCAGAAACAGACUCUUGACUUGUAGACUUCUUGAGCACAUGUCCUCCGACAUACCUGACAAAUAUUUUAAGAUCAUGCUUGUGACGGAGUGCUUCACUUUAGGACCUCGGACAGGUGAGCAAAAUCAGAAGGAGAAGGGGGAUUUUUAUGUCCCAGUAGGUGGACAUUAAAGCAGGUGGUGAAUUAGAUUCUCUUUUCCUGAGAACACUCCUUGUGACUCGCUUUUUCUUGGAUAAUCUUCCACAUCCCCAGGCAGGUAAUAAGUGACUAUGCUAACAGCCCUAACCACGGGGGUGUGGUGGUUUACAUCUGCUUCCUUCUUUCUGGCCACAGGCAUUUUUGCGAGGCCUCGUGCACUGUCCCAGGAUGGUGGUGACAAGCGAAGGCUUCAGGAGCUGUGCGGGAAGCAAGGGGCUGCUGAGUCCACCUGCUUUGUGAGAGACGCUGGCCUUGGCUUGCUGGGCUCCUCCACGCCUUCCAUCUCGUCGGUCACUGCUUCCUGUGCUGCUGGAACAUUUUCUGAAGCUUCAACCCAGACCAUAUUCCUGUGCCAGGUACUAAUACUUCUUUAAUUUUUUUACUCUCAAGGUGCUAAUAUUUGUUAACAUAGUACAAUAUGGCAUCUUUUUUUUUCCUUAAAAUCUUAUAAGACUCAAUCUUUUAAAUCCUUAGUGUCUACUAAUUUCAUGUCAUUCAGUGAAAACAUAUCCAAUUUUAGGCAUGAAGAAGACACAUCUAACAAGCUCCUGUCCUCCAGGAGUUCAUAAAGUUUGAAAUCUUCUCCUGUUCCGGGUCCAAUUCCGUGUUUCUCCACUUACAGCGGUGAGCCUCACUUUCCUGCACCUGCCUCCUUUACUGGCUGACCCCCGCGUUGGUGGGGAGGGGGCAGCGAGAGGCAGGAAGGCCCCCAUGAAGCAUUUCUCCCCUGCACAGGGCAGGCAGCCCCCUCGCCUGGCCUCCGUGUUGUGGUCAUCACCAUUUCCCAUCUUGCUCUACCCUUUGCUCCUUGGUGAUAGAAGGUGUCACAUGCUUUGUUGAUUGAGGAUUAACUCCAGAAUGUCUGCCUGAUCUGGCUUGCGCUGUAUCUUUAUUUAUUUAUUUAUUUUACAUAGUAUUUGAUAUUUAUUUAUUAAGAGAAAUUAUUCCAUAGCCCACAUUUUCAAGUCUUAAUUCAGGAGCACAGACAGGUCAGUGAUAAACAUCCAGGGAACUCAAUCCAAAGAAAUUCUUUAUGUUCCAAAAUCACUUUGCACUCUGAAAGAUACCAGCCUUCCUCAUCUCCUUGAAAUCUUUCAUGGAAUCAUAAUUUCUAUAGAAAUCUGCAUAUGCCUUUUUUCUUGGUUCAGCCACACCAAACUUAACACCAACGUCCUUCCUUACAGACAGAAAAAUGAACUGCCGCACUGUAUCUUUAAAAGCUAUUUCCAGUUUGAGUUUGUAGCUUUCUACAUGUCGUCCCUCAGGCACUUUAAUAUUUUACCAGCUCAACAGUAACUAAUCUAUGGGGUCUGUGUCAGGAUUUGCCCCUGGUCAUUCACAACGUCUAAAUGAUGUCCUGCGGGUCUUCACAAGGAAACCUUCAAGGGCGAGUGAGUAGUUGUAAGUCUUCUUUAGUCUGGAAGGCCAAGAAGUAAAGGAAUCCUUUCCUGAGUGGUACCAUAAAAGAAGGCAAGAAAUGUUUAGGACACAAAAUUGCCUUCUUCUCAUGGGGCAUAAACAGGUAGAUUGAAGACCACAUGGAAAUACUCCCCCACAAUAGAGUAUGGAUUAGAGUGGAUUUACUGAUAUUUUAUUCAGGAACAAAUGUGACGAGUAAUUGAAGAAAAUGUGGCCUUGGUGUGGAGAAAGUGGCCAUGGUCGCUGCUGGGGAUAGGGAGUGGGAGGAAGAGAUGAGAUGUGAGGGCGUUUUAGGGACUUGGAGCUGUCCUGGGUGGUGCGGCAGGGACCGUUACUGGACAUUGUAUGUCCUCCCAUGACCCACUGGGUGGACUGUGAGAGAGUGCGGGCUAUGGUGUGGACCAUUGACCAUGAGGUGCAGCAGUGCUCAGAGAUGUACUCACCAAGUGCAAUGAAUGUCUCAUGAUGAUGGAGGAGGUUGUUGUUAUGGGGAGAGGAGUGGGGUGAGAGGGGUGGAGGGUAUAUGGGGAACUCAUUUUUUUAAUGUAACAUUUUAAAAAAAGGACAAAAAAAAGAAAAAAUAAAUACCAAAAAAAAAAAAAAAAAGAACAGGGCCUUAGAAUCCUAAUACGGAUUCUGAGAACUUCCCUGUGUGCCUCUGCAGCUCGUGUUUAUCUCACCCAGGGAAGCCUCAUGUUGUUUUUAACGUCGUGGAGUUUGUGUCUAAGGCCAUGACGGUGGUUUUGCGGAAGGGAGUCUGUACAGGCUGACUGGCCACGCUGGUGGCCUCGGUUCUUCAGCCAAGUGCGCAUGCAGCACUCACAAAUGGCGGAGGAACCCUGGCACCUGAGGUUCGUGGAGAGUGUGCAAUUGCAGCCCCACUAGAAUUCUCUUCUUUGCCUGUUCAGGGAAAAAAAAAAAACAAUAGACACUGUCAUUAGAUUAUUCAAAGGAAAAUUUAUGCUGUACUCUUAAUUGUAAAAUCUCUGUUGUGAAGACAGGAAAAUAUUUAUUUUCAUUUCCUAUGAAUAUACUUUUUAAUGUUUCAACUGUGCAGCCCAAAGCUGACUCAUAUAUUUUCUAAAUGUGUAAGACACAAACUUUAUGGCUUUCCAUUUUGAGUAGUAAGAGCUCCCGUCCCUAUUUUUUCGGUUUUUGUCAUGGUCGUGGUACCUAGGAUCUGAAUUAGUGCUGUUAAUGAGAAGAAAUCACUUUUAAAACACCUAGGAGAAAAAUAUACUUAAUUUUCCAAACAAAUUGUGGACUUAUUUACAUCUGUACUUUUUGAUGUAUUUUGUGUUUUGGUCCAGCACUCAGCACAAUCUCGUUUGAUACCCAUGUGUAGGAACAAUUUAAAGACAGUCCUCCUGGCCCAUAAGGAUGGUUGAAAUGGAAAAAACAAUCAUGAUCCCUCAUGAAGUCUUCUCCCAGGUAAUUUAAGAAAUGCGUCAUCUCUUGCUUUAUCUUGGGAUCAUUUUGGCUUCUUGAUGUCAUUGUCGUCUAAAGUUCAUA